CGGCGGACGGGUGAGUAAUGCCCAGGAAUCUGCCUGGUAGUGGGGGACAACGUUUCGAAAGGAACGCUAAUACCGCAUACGUCCUACGGGAGAAAGCAGGGGACCUUCGGGCCUUGCGCUAUCAGAUGAGCCUAGGUCGGAUUAGCUAGUUGGUGAGGUAAUGGCUCACCAAGGCGACGAUCCGUAACUGGUCUGAGAGGAUGAUCAGUCACACUGGAACUGAGACACGGUCCAGACUCCUACGGGAGGCAGCAGGA
RNAcentral lists this ribosomal RNA (257 nucleotides) under uncultured Pseudomonas sp. Its description in RNAcentral is "partial 16S ribosomal RNA". It matches the Rfam family "Bacterial small subunit ribosomal RNA", at positions 96 to 354 of the family's 1533-position model. Lineage: Bacteria; Pseudomonadati; Pseudomonadota; Gammaproteobacteria; Pseudomonadales; Pseudomonadaceae. The record is from RNAcentral.